GCGUUUGUUUGUUCUAUCGCUCCGAAAGUAAUUUCGGGGAGGAAAGUCCGGGCAACACAGAGCACCCUACUUCCUAACGGGAAGGCAUUGCAACAAACAAUGACAGAAAGUGCCGCAGAAAAUAACCGGAUUUAAAUAUCCAAGGGUGAAAACGCGAGGUAAAAGCUCACGACGCGGGCUGGCGACAGUCAGCGGGGGUAAACCUUAGGGGUUGAAAGACCAAAUAUUCCGGGGCUUGAGGGAUGCUCACCCGACCCGGUGGGUAGGUCGAUUGAAGUUAAUAGUGAUAUUAACUCCAGAUAGAUGAUAGAAAUCCUUAACAGGAUACAGAACCCGGCUUACAGAACAGACGCUUUU
Molecule: RNase P RNA, 357 nt
Filed under: Bacteroidales bacterium
Lineage: Bacteria; Pseudomonadati; Bacteroidota; Bacteroidia; Bacteroidales
Description: RNase P RNA component class A
Rfam family: Bacterial RNase P class A
About the family: Ribonuclease P (RNase P) is a ubiquitous endoribonuclease, found in archaea, bacteria and eukarya as well as chloroplasts and mitochondria. Its best characterised activity is the generation of mature 5'-ends of tRNAs by cleaving the 5'-leader elements of precursor-tRNAs.
Source: RNAcentral